This 85-nucleotide non-coding RNA is filed under the name Tenuibacillus multivorans. RNAcentral's name for it is "c-di-GMP-I riboswitch aptamer". It matches the Rfam family "c-di-GMP-I riboswitch aptamer". From Rfam's summary of the family: GEMM was predicted in a large-scale screen for bacterial structured RNA regulatory elements. The record is from Rfam by way of RNAcentral. Lineage: Bacteria; Bacillati; Bacillota; Bacilli; Caryophanales; Bacillaceae.
AUAUGAAAAAGGCAAACUUUCCGAAAGGUUAGGACGCAAAGCCUAGGGUCUAAGGUUAAAAAACUACGAUCGCCUGGCUACCAAG